Mustela erminea (ermine) is the source of this 2431-nucleotide long non-coding RNA. RefSeq lists it as uncharacterized. The transcript has 6 exons. Lineage: Eukaryota; Metazoa; Chordata; Mammalia; Carnivora; Mustelidae. The record is from RefSeq and is a predicted model, not a curated record.
CCCCUCCACCUUUUAAAUAGGGUGAAUCUUUCAGGGCAGAGCUAAGAGGAGAGAUUCUAGAGCCUAAAACUGACAGAGGACAGCCAAAAUCAGUUUUAUUUGGCAUGUGUUUGCUUUCUUAAGCCUGAAUUGUAGUCAAAACUGGACACAGCUGUCGUUUCUCAAGAUUUCACUCCCAGACUGAAUGUUUGGAUUUCAGCUCAUUGUUUAAUAGUUCUAGAAUUCGAAUGGUCACCGUGAGGCAGGAAGGUUAGCACUCCAUUAAGAUGGAUGGGGAAAGUUCACACCUCUCACUUUUAUUUUAUUUCUUUGCUUUUCUUUCCAUUUGCCUGCAUACUCAGCAAAGCUGAAGCCCGUUCACUACACAGUCUGUUUUUAUACCCACUGGACUGAAAAGUUGAUUUACUGAAGAACUCGGAUUUUGCAGGAAGAGGAAAAAAAACCCACAGAGAGUUUUAAAAUCUGCAAAAUACGACGGGAUUAUCAGAGGAAUAAGAAAUCUUAAGCUAGAUCCUUUGGUUUUUAAAUCAAUCCCCGAAGAGGUUUUAAAGCCCAUACACUUUUGGAUGGUUCUUCUGGACAUCACUAUAAUUAUUCUUCAUAGAAUAUCUACUAAGAGGGAGAGCUAAGACCAGCAUUUAGGUAAACUAGGAAGCCAGUGCAUUUUUGUUCAGUUAGCUUUGAUGAAUGUUGAUUGGAAAACAUGGAAGGAAAUUAACCUUCACUGAGUGCCUACUACAUGAAAGCAUCAUGCUAGGUAUCAGGGGAGACCACGAAGGGUAACACCUAGUUCAGUCUGGUCCCUUUGCUGUGAUGAAGAAAAAACAUACAUGAUUUUCUCUAACGCGUCAGACUCUGAGAAGUAUUAUGGUAUGGAUUCCUAUAACAGACCCAUGGAGAAAAGGACAAGUUCAUUGUGAACUGAAACAUUUAGAAAAGCUUCUUAAAGCUGAAUUCACAGAUUCCAACAAAGACCUCUGAAGAAGGCUUGGUGUAUGGGGUUCUAUACAAUGGAAGCACCCAGGCUGCUGGAAUCAUCAGACAGAAGAAGGCUGCCCUCCUGAUGCCUAAUGAUGCCAUGAAAGGAACAAGAAUUAUUCUGUAAGCCACUGCAAUUUGCGAGCUAGCUUUAGAGCGGAGACGGUAAGAUUCCUAAUAGUAGAAUUUGACUAUGAAGUCAAAGAGUUUGAAAAUCUGUAAAAGACACCAGUGAGUACAGGAAACCAGCUUCCUUGAAAGGUUGCAGAAGUUUGUUUUCCUGCUAACAGAACAGGAGAUGACCUGUCUUACCACACUCUCAUCUGCAUUGAACGUCUCCUUGUACUACAGGUCAAUCGUUGGCUCUUUGCCCACCCAUGAGUGCUCUAACCUUGAGAAGGGAAUAUGGGUGCAUGUGCGUAGCUACUGUGGCUGUGGUGGAGCCGUGGAUGGAAAGAAGGAUGAGACCCAACAGCCAGAUCGGACAAAGGCCAUUGGAGGUCCAGGCACAGCACGUUGCAUGGAACAUUACUUGAUCAACAGUUGCUACUUCGUGGAUUAUCACUUACGUUGAAAAAAAAAAAAAAUAACACUACUUGACGAUAUCUUUGAAUUCAAGCCUCUUAUCUUUCCUCUUUCGAAGGACAAGAUGAUUGCUUGCAGCUUCCUCAAGCCCUCUAAUCAAGCACAGGAAACGACCGGAAUGCAAUGAACUGCCACGGAAGAUUCCUUUUCUUGCCCAUGUUACCAAAGAGCACUUACAGAGCGUUUCAUGAAAGGAAUGCAGAAUACGCCGAAGCAAGGGUGGGCACAGAGUUAAAGCCCAAGCCCGCAAGACUGAAUGACCUCCGUGGGCAACCCUUGCGCCCAGUCGCAAACAAAUGGGACCAGGAAGGCUUUCCUCUCACACUCGCUGGGAGGCACCCCCACCCACCACCUCCUGCCGUCCAUCUCCUCCUUCCCUGAUUUGUGUCUGUUUUUGUUAAACAGUGGAUCUUGCUAUGCUUUUCAGAAAGCUGACAAGAAGCAAGCUGAAAAUUAAAAAUGGGUGCCGAGAGGCUUUACGGGAGUCUAAAUAAACAGCUCGACAGGAAAGACGUGUGGCAGGCUAAGGUUUCAGGCUAGUGGUCGGAGAGAGUUAAAAGACAUCCGUAUAACAGAAGGCUGUGUUUGUUUUCCCUGUCCCUGCUCUAGCAAAUUUAUUGGGUUAUCUGUCUUAUUUUGACACUUGGGUGUUUAAGGUUUCUGUUCUAGGUGUCUAAAGACAUAAAAAAAAUUAUUGUACCGCUUACAUUCCUGGCAGAGGCUUUGGCAUGUGCUAGCUGAAAAGUUCCUAUCUGCCAGUAAUUUUGCAGAAAAAAGCCUUGUAGAAUUGGGUUUUCGCAGAGGCUCCAAGAAUCCUCUGCAGAAAACGCCGAGAACAAAGGGGUUCUUAUUUUAUUUCUGACCCUAU